RNAcentral lists this transfer RNA (75 nucleotides) under Betaproteobacteria bacterium RIFCSPLOWO2_02_FULL_62_17. Its description in RNAcentral is "tRNA-Lys". It matches the Rfam family "tRNA". From Rfam's summary of the family: Transfer RNA (tRNA) molecules are approximately 80 nucleotides in length. Their secondary structure includes four short double-helical elements and three loops (D, anti-codon, and T loops). Lineage: Bacteria; Pseudomonadati; Pseudomonadota; Betaproteobacteria. The record is from RNAcentral.
GGGCCUUUGGCCGAGAGGCGAGGCAGCGGACUUUUAAUCCGCGCGACGCAGGUUCGAUUCCUGCAGGGCCCACCA